Long non-coding RNA from Cydia amplana, 466 nucleotides. RefSeq lists it as uncharacterized. The record is from RefSeq and is a predicted model, not a curated record. NCBI's taxonomy places the organism in Eukaryota, Metazoa, Arthropoda, Insecta, Lepidoptera, Tortricidae. The transcript has 2 exons.
UCGCGGCGCUCAUGUGCUAAGCCUAUUGUUUAAACUUUCUCGCUUUGUCUCACCAAGUCUAAACAAAUAAACACUAAUUCAGAUCAUAUUAUUCAAUAUUUUUACGUAACUGGUUCUGAUUUGUAGGUGUAAUAAGAUUUAUACAUGAUAUUUAAAAUAUAUCUCAUUAGUAGCAUCGUUUCUAAAGUUUAUAUUUUUAACACAAAAUUUUAAAAUACAUAUUUUCUAAGGUUCCCCAAUUGUACUAAGAACAUUUGUGGCGAUUAAACACUUUACAGCAGUGAAUAUUUUGUUUUUAAAGUGUCAAACAAAACCUGGCUAAAAGAGCUAUAUUUCAUAUACAUAUCCCAAAUAUUGAAAAUAACAAAUUGUUCUAUAACAACUAAAAAUUAACUUGUUGAAUAGGACUUGUAAAAUGUGUAUAAGAGUAUGUAUAAGUGUAUAACGGUUUUGUUUGAUACUUUAA